Molecule: ribosomal RNA, 429 nt
Filed under: Acidobacteriota bacterium
Lineage: Bacteria; Pseudomonadati; Acidobacteriota
Description: Acidobacteria bacterium partial 16S ribosomal RNA
Rfam family: Bacterial small subunit ribosomal RNA
Source: RNAcentral
UGGGGAAUUUUGGACAAUGGGGGAAACCCUGAUCCAGCCAUCCCGCGUGUGCGAUGAAGGCCUUCGGGUUGUAAAGCACUUUUGGCAGGAAAGAAACGUCAUGGGUUAAUACCCCGUGAAACUGACGGUACCUGCAGAAUAAGCACCGGCUAACUACGUGCCAGCAGCCGCGGUAAUACGUAGGGUGCAAGCGUUAAUCGGAAUUACUGGGCGUAAAGCGUGCGCAGGCGGUUCGGAAAGAAAGAUGUUAAAUCCCAGAGCUCAACUUUGGAACUGCAUUUUUAACUACCGGGCUAGAGUGUGUCAGAGGGAGGUGGAAUUCCGCGUGUAGCAGUGAAAUGCGUAGAUAUGCGGAGGAACACCGAUGGCGAAGGCAGCCUCCUGGGAUAACACUGACGCUCAUGCACGAAAGCGUGGGGAGCAAACAGG